CUGCAGCCCGAGUGGUGAUCGAUUUUAUUGAGCCUAAAGCGUCCGUAGCCGGACUAGUAAACCCUUGGGUAAAUUGGGCAGCUUAACUGUCCAAUUUCCGAGGGAACUGCUAGUCUUGGGACCGGGAGAGGUCAGAGGUACUCAAGGGGUAGGGGCUAAAUCCUGUAAUCCUUUGGGGACCACCAGUGGCGAAGGCGUCUGACUAGAACGGAUCCGACGGUAAGGGACGAAACCCUGGGGCGCGAACCGGAUUAGAUACCCGAGUAGUCC
RNAcentral lists this ribosomal RNA (270 nucleotides) under uncultured archaeon. RNAcentral's name for it is "partial 16S ribosomal RNA". It matches the Rfam family "Archaeal small subunit ribosomal RNA", at positions 477 to 747 of the family's 1478-position model. The record is from RNAcentral.